CAACACAGCGGCUGGGGCUCAACCACGGGCCAUGGGGCUUGAAUGGACUGACAUAUGUCGACCGACAGGGCUUGACCAUGGGCCACGAGGCCUGACCGACCUGACGUAAAUCGACCGACCAGGCUCGUUCGAAUGGGAAUCCAUGAAGGAAAGGUUAACUGCAGAAAACUCCUCUCUGAUUCUUGAGAUCUUUAGUGUGGAAGUUAAUCAAAUAAUUAUCAAUAGUUUGCUUUUGUAUAUAAACUUAAUCAACAUGAAAGCUGGGCAAUGAUGUAACUCGAGAUCAUGGUUCUAGUAGACCACGAUGCUACUGAAAUGGCGAGGCGGCAAAAGUGCUGCAGCUAUUCAACUGUUCUGAACAAUCGUUGGUAAGAGUAAUGAUAGGGUUUCUUGCCUACAGACCCAAAGUUUUACUCCCAUUUAUUUUUAAACACACUUACUUCUAAAAACAUUCCUAAAUCCAAAACACCCUUAUUUAUAAAUAAUAAGGGUAAAUUUAAGAAAUCCCUAUUCUACAAUGAUGUUGUCAAUGAUGAUGAUGAUAUAACUCUCGAGUCUGAGCCCACAUUAUCUAUCUAACAUGAGCUCUUUAGAUUUUAAUUUUGAUAGCUAACGCAAAAGAUAUUGCUCAAACUAAGCAUCUGAAAGCGAGUUGUUAACUUGUAGACCCUGUUUCUAUGUGUUUAAUCUGGCAAUUAAUGGUUUAUUUUUGAAGCAGACCACCUGAGAUGAUGAUGAUGAUACCAAGGCCGGGACACAUGUUUACUUGGAGAAAGUGUGAAAGCCUUUUUUUAUAAUCAUUCGAAGCCACUUCAUUUUUAUCAUUUCCGCUAGCUAGUACCACCUCCACCUCCACAUCCACCUGCAUUAUGACUUUGACUUCAGAUGUUAAAUUUUGAGUGAAGUUUAUGGUCUUUUAAUGCAACUCGAGUUUCAUGGUUCUCAGAAACCGUGACACUAACUGAGAUGGCAAAGUAGCAAAAAUGCUGCAGCCGCUCAUUUGGUCUGUUCUGAACAAUAAUGAUGAUGAUAAUAACAAGGGUGAAGUGCAGGUAUCACCUGUCGUCUACAAUGAUGAUGAUGUUGUUUGUUAGGCCCACAGUUUAUUCCAACAUUAUCUGAUAUCAAUCUGAUAGCAUCUCAAAUUCGAACUUGUAUAUCCUGUUCCUAUGGGUGUUAUCUUGCGGUGGAUGAUUUAGUUUUGAAGGAGAGCACCUGAGAUAAUGGAUUGACGAUGAUGAUGAGGAUGAUGCCAAGGCUGCGAGUUUUAAGGUGUGAAGCCUUAAAGUUUCGGGAUCGUGUUCUGUCAUUGACAUACACUUAUCUGAAGACGCAUCCUUCUCUCUUAUUUCCACAAUUGAAAUGUUAGCUUUACUUGAACCUAUUUUAGGGGAAAUUUUAAGGAAUGUUGAUACCUUGAGUGAUUUGCCAAUACAUGGGUUUUUCAUUUAGGAGAUGGAAGCAUCAGGUCUACAUGAUCCAUGAUUGUCUCAAAAUGCUCAGUUAAUCAGUAUGAAUAUGGCUUAUGCAUGCUUGUGUUAGACUUAAACGACCGCCUCAUGUAUGCGUAUAUGUAUUCCGCAACUCAUAUACCUUCUAUGCGCACGCGCACACACACAGUCACAAUAAAGAGUCAAGACAUACACAAUAUGGUUCAUGCAUGGUUGUGUUAGACUUCAUCUAUUGCCAGGGUAUAUUAGCUUCAAUCCAAAGGUACGCCCACAGGUUACACAGAAGCUGGAUUGACCGCAAUCAGUUAUAAUACGUGUCUGGGUUAGACUAUCUAUUAUCAAAGGUAUUCUGCGGCUCAUAUGCCUUUGUCACACAAAGACGCACACAGUUGUUAAUGUACACACAAAUACAUACACGUGCACACAUGCCCACACAAAUCACUCAUGUAUAUACAUGGCCAACGCGCACACCUGUGUUGUAGACACACCCGAACUCAUAUGUACCAUGCAUACACCCAGACACCCACUUAAACGCACACCCACAUCUACCCAACCACCUGCAUAUAAGAAAACCGAAAAUUUUCUCUACAUUCAAGGAAAGUUUCUUGAAGAAACUUAAACAAACAUGUAAAUCAUCUCAUGAACGUACGCAAGAAGCCAUGUGGCUGCCCGCACAUGCCUGCCAUCUGCACACACACACGAAGACAUGCACACAUGAAAAUUGGAAAUGUGUUUAUUUAUGGCAAAAUUUUAUUUUUCUAAAGGAGCUCAAUGAACAAGUAAAUCAUCUUUGAGGAUGAUAUACAACAUUCAUUGAUCAACUUGUUCUCAAGGGCACAUGGAUGACUAAUUCUUUGAAUUUCAGAGCUCAUUUGCGAGCAUUCAUCAAAAGUUUCGAACUUGUUCUAUUCACAGGAAAGUAUUCAAUUUACAACAACUUGAUGGAUCGUCAAAUGAUGCACAAGUCCUAUGAUUAGUGAUCCACAAUCCCUUGGCGUCAUGUACGGCAUGAUACACAUGCAUGCAUCCAGCCACCCACCCACCCAUGCAGUCACUCAUAGAGCACAUGUUCUGAUAUUGGGUAUGAGCUGGAAAUCUUAAGAGAUAGAAGAUAUACAAAACAGUUCCAUGAUCAGAGAUUAUGAGGUGUCACAAGAGUAUAUAGUCAUUCGCACAAUCUAAAUACCAGCUCCACCUCCACCCUCUUGUGUCUUUUACUUUAAAGAAUGUAGAUAAUCUGGCAAUGGUUUAGUUUUGGAGAGGACAUGAGAACUUCAUUGAAGAUAUACAGUUAUUUUUAUUAGAAAUUGAAGGAAGAAGGUGAAUAAAGAGGAGAAAUCUCUGAGGUGAAGGUGAUAAUAGGAAGAUGUCAUCCGAAGGUCAAGGAAUCUAGUGCUAAGAAACCUGGUGGUAAAGACCAUUGUUGGCAAUAUGGAGAGAGUUGGUUCUGACACCGGGAAGGUGUGAUGCAAAUUUUGCUUGCAAUCCUUCAGUGGAGAGAUAAGCUAGCUCAAGGCUCAUUUGGCGGGGAAAAGAGGGAAUUGUAAGGCUUGUGACAAGGUUCCUAAGGAUGUGAAGAAAAAAAGUUCUUGCGAUGUUAAAGGACGCAGAAAAAGAGAAGGAUGAAAAGGAGAUAAGAUCGAAUACCUUAUUAAGUGAUGUGCAUGUUGGGGAGGAAGAUGAAGAGAAUGAGAAUCCAUCACUUAGAACUAGAAGCUCAUCUUCUUCAUUGAAGACAAAAAGGUCAAUCUUCAUUGAAGACAAAAAAGGUCAAUGGACUCUUUUGCAUGUCGCUUCCCCAAGGAGACCACCACCUUGCUAGCAAAGGGAGAACAAUCGGCAAUUGACUCAAAAAGAGUAGAAAGAAGGCAAGAGAGGAUGCAAACAAGUAUAUAGGGAAAUGGUUCUAUGACGCCAGCAUCUCUUUCAAUAUCGCAACACUUACCUCUUUCCAACAAAUGGUGUAUGCUAUUGGACAGUUUGGACCUUGUAUGCAUGCUCCAUUGUAAUAUGAGUUGAGAGCGCCCCUUUUGCAAAGAGAGAUGAAUGAAACAAAAGUGAUGGUUGAGAACUUCAAAAAGAAUUGUGCGGUCAACGGGUGUUUUAUAUUGACUGAUGCUUGGAGCGAUCGGAAGUGAACGAGCCUAAUGAAUAUAGUUUGGCAUUCUAAUGGAGGGGCAAUAUUUUUAACUCCAGGAGACACAUCAGCUGAUAAGCAUGACGGGAACUUUAUAUUUUUGUUUUUGGAAAAGGCAAUUGUUGAGUUAGGGUCGGAAAAUAUGGUGCAAAUUGUCACAGAUGGAGCUUCAAAUAACAUGGCGGCCUCUACAAGAUUGACACAGACAAGGCCGAUUAUCUUUUGGACAACUUGUGCAGCACACUGUGUGAAUUUGAUGUUUCGUGACAUAGCUAGAAUCAAGCCAGUUCAGAGUGCAAUUCUGAUGGGAAGAACUGUAUUAGUGUACAUCUACAGUCACACUAAGUCUCUUCAAUUGCUAUGUGAGUUUACAAAUGGAGAAAUAUUGAGACUCGGGGCAACGAGAUUUGCUACAUCGUUUCUUUCUUUGCAGUCUGAGGGAUAAGAAAAAGUAGAUGAGGCAGAUGUUCAUUUGUGACAAGUGGAUGGACUGUAGUCUAUUAUCAAUGGGACCAUGUAAAAAGGUUGCUGAAAUUAUUGCAAGCAACAAGUUCCGGGACAGACAAGGUUGAUUUUGCCCUAAAGUUUUUACUCCCUUGGUGAAGGUUUUGGGGUUUGUCUACGGAGAUCUUUUGGUGGCCAAGUUGGAGUUGAAAGCGGCCAUCAGUAAUGAAGAAAAUAAGUAUCUUCCUAUAUGUAAGGUGGUUGAUAACAGAUGUGAGAACAAGCUUAUGGAGCCACUACAUAAAGCGGGAUAUUAUCUCAAUUCCCACUUCUUCUAUCCAUCUUUUGCGGAGAUUGAAAAGAAGGAAACCUUCAUACAAAGCGUAGUGGAAUGUAUGCAUAAAUUCUACGGGGAUAAUGAUGACAUUUUUGGUAGGAUUAGACUUCAACUUCAUGAUUAUCAACAUAGAAAAGGGUCACUUGGAGCUCAAUUGCCAUCAAGCAAGCGAAAAGGGCAGAUAGUAAUCCCGGUUAUGCACUUGGAAGGUUUCAUUAUGUGGUCGAGAAGCAAGUUUCUACAAUCGGUUAUAUGAUAUAUCCUUAUUUGUGAUGCAAUUUCUUAUUUUAGAAUACAUUAAAUAUGUUUAUAUUGCAUAUUACAAUGUUAUGUGACAUUUUAACACCAUCUGAUAUGCGAUCCCAAUAUUUUUUUACAUAGCCCCGAUGUAUUCCUGAUUUCCGCAAUUCGAUAUGGAUUUUGGCCAUCCGAUAUGUUCGAUAUUUUCGAUAUUUAAUACAUUAAGUAUUUCUUAAAUCUAAAGUUAAUUUCUUUUGAAAGAUUGCUAAUAAGUUAGAUGUUGCUCUAGCCAUUUGGAAAUUAAUUUUCUUUUGUGAUCAUUGUUUUAUUUUAUUGUUUGUAAUCCAUUUUACUGAUUGAAUUGAAACAUUAAAUAUGUAACUGACAUGAGGAAUAAAAGUUAACUUCGUAGUGAAGCUAAAAAGCUUUAAAUUAUUAGGUAUAGAUGGAAUUUCUUGUAGUAAAUGUUGGUUCUACAUAGCAACAACAUUUCUAUAACCCUAAAAUAAACUAAGAUUGUAUGGGACAAUAAGACUAUAUAAUUAAGGCUAUUAUAUUUCAUUAGAAUUUGGCUACAUCUCAUGAGAUUUACAAGAGAUUCAUUAAACGGCAUGCUUGCCAAAUGACAAUAGGCGUCCUUGCUUUAUUAUUAAAAGAGGGGUAAACAAUGUCAUUUUUCAUGGGGCAUAACUAAGUUGGUUAUACCCAGGGAAUAAAAAAAGCCUACCCUAUAUAUAUAAAUGAGUAUGCUUGGUAGCAAGCACAGAUGUGGUACUUAGUAGUGAGGUGGACACUUCUCAUCCACAUAUUUAAAGAUGUUCACUUGGAAAUUGUCCCCACUUUUUUUACUCACUCAUUAGAUGAGGGGAUGAGAAGUGGCCAUCUCCCUAUCAAGCACCAAAAUUUAGUUCUCGGUACCAAACAUACCCAUAUUUCUUUAUACAUUCAAACAUACGUGUGUGUGUAACCAAUAAUUAAUUUUUUAUGUUAUCCUUUCAUGUGUCGUCAGAUAUGACUUUUCUCUAAAGAAGUGCACAUAUAUAAUACAUGCAUAAUUGUCGAUAAUUGCUUCCUUGUAUAUCACAAUCAUAGGUAAUGUUGUGAUUAGGCCUAUUCAGUCGGACUAUGUACUAUUGAAAGUAGAAUCCAGUUCUUAUUAGAACUAGCAGCAUGCAAGCUGGUAGUUGUAUACCAUUCAUGGGGGUAUUGAGGGAUAAUUUGAGGAUUUCACUACCCCCAAGAGUGGCGUAGAACUUCCCUCGAGUAGUUCUGAGAUGAUCUGUUCUCUUCAGAGUAGUGUCUGUAUAUGUUCACUGACAUGAACUAAAGAGUAGAGCAAGUGGUACUGAUCCUAAUAUUGAAGUCCAUCAGAUUGUAAAUUAGAAUUAUUUGACUGGGAUCCAUAAAAGUGCCUCCUUUUUUUGAUCUAUUGCCUCCUUUUUUUGAUCUAUUGCCUCCUUUAUUUAUUUAUUUAUUUAAAUUCUGUUUGAGUAUAUCGGAAGUUAGGAACCAAAUCCAUUGAGGAAUUUUUCGUGUUUUUUAUUUUAAUUUUUAAUUUUUUUUCAAAAUCUUGCCCAAAAGUAUGCCCUUCUAUGCAUCUUUUAUAACUAUUCAAUGAAAAUACUCUUAGGAAUCUCUUAAAAGAAGUGCCUCAAUGUCUUUAUGCUUAAAGAUUUUUUUUCCCUGUUCCUGGUUCUUUUUUAGCAUGUUAAACCAACUAAAUAUUCUCACCUUGCAUGUAUUUGUGAUUCAUGUAAUAGUGAAGUCUGAAUUCUUUGGCUCUUUGAUUCUUGUUCCUGAUCUUGGAUUUUAAUUUUGACAAAGAAAGAUGCAGCACAUGUUUUUGUUAUCUGCUUGAGCUUUGCUAUUAGCACUGAAUAUUCAAAGUCUUUAAAAUAGCUAAUUGCCAAAUAGUCUAGGGUUUUUUAUGAAACCCUUCAAAAAUUAGGGGGUUUUUCUCUAAUUUUUGUUGUCCAGGCAGUUUUUGUGAAAUUUAUUUCCGUGUUAUAGUGGUGAGGCUAUGAUACCAGAGUCUAGGCCAAUGGGACUCUAAUGAUCUCCACUGCCUCGGUGAAAUAUGCCUCCAGCACGCAACAGCUGCUCAUUAGAAAUGGGAAUGGAAGAAGGAAAGGUGUAAUAAUCUGACAAUGAUCCGGUUUUGAAGGAGAUCGCAUAGACAAUUCAUUGAUGAUGGUACCAUGGCUCAAUGAUUGGAAAACUUUAAGGUGUGACAAGUGUUGGUGUGGAGAAAGUCUGAAAAUCUUUUCUAUAUUGUCAUUUGAAAUCACUUCCUUUUCGUGCUUUCUGCAAUGCAUACACCACCUACACCUCCACCUGCAUUAUGACUGCGUUCAGAGAUUCGGGCUAGAUGUAUAGAUAUUCCUCAACUAGUGCCAUUCCCGCAUGAAGCUGCAGGAAUUUUAGAGUUCAUGUUUGGAUUGGAGAUGACGACUUACCAGGUUCAUGUCUGAUUCAUGUAAGAUUCAAACUUGCUUCCAUUUUGGUAUAUGCCAUGACCAGUUCAUUUAAGAUUCAAACUUGCAUCUCUUUUGGUAUAUAUGCCAUGACUGGUUCAUGUAACAUUCCAUAUUUGAUACCAAUAGAUCUAUUACAUUUGCUGUUACUUUCAA
Long non-coding RNA from Asparagus officinalis (garden asparagus), 7239 nucleotides. RefSeq lists it as uncharacterized. The record is from RefSeq and is a predicted model, not a curated record. The transcript is spliced from 11 exons. Lineage: Eukaryota; Viridiplantae; Streptophyta; Magnoliopsida; Asparagales; Asparagaceae.